UACGGAGGGUGCAAGCGUUAUCCGGAUUCACUGGGUUUAAAGGGUGCGUAGGUGGCCUUGUAAGUCAGUGGUGAAAGCCCGGAGCUCAACUCCGGAACUGCCAUUGAUACUGCAGGUCUUGAGUACACUUGAGGUGGGCGGAAUACAUCAUGUAGUGGUGAAAUACUUAGAUAUGAUGUAGGACACCGAUUGCGAAGGCAGCUCACUAAAUUGUAACUGACACUGAGGCACGAAAGCGUGGGGAUCAAACAGG
Molecule: ribosomal RNA, 253 nt
Filed under: uncultured bacterium
Lineage: Bacteria
Description: partial 16S ribosomal RNA
Rfam family: Bacterial small subunit ribosomal RNA
Source: RNAcentral